RNAcentral lists this ribosomal RNA (650 nucleotides) under uncultured delta proteobacterium. Its description in RNAcentral is "bacterial SSU rRNA". It matches the Rfam family "Bacterial small subunit ribosomal RNA", at positions 28 to 660 of the family's 1533-position model. The record is from RNAcentral. Lineage: Bacteria; Deltaproteobacteria.
GACGAACGCUGGCGGUGUGCUUAACACAUGCAAGUCAACGAGAAUUUUAUCUUCGGAUAAAUACUAAAGUGGCGAACGGGUGAGUAACGCGUAAAUAACUUGCCUUGGAGAUUGGGACAACAUUGGGAAACCAGUGCUAAUACCAAAUAAUGCAACAAGCCCUUCGGGGCAUAUUGUUAAAGUAGGCUUCGGCUUACACUUCAAGAUAGAUUUGCGUCCGAUUAGUUAGUUGGUAGAGUAAUAGCCUACCAAGACUGAGAUCGGUAGCUGGUCUGAGAGGAUGAUCAGCCACACUGGAAUUGAGAUACGGUCCAGACUCCUACGGGAGGCAGCAGUGAGGAAUUUUGCACAAUGGGCGAAAGCCUGAUGCAGCAACACCGCGUGAUUGAUGAAGUUUUUAGGAAUGUAAAAAUCUGUCGUAAGUGAAGAAAUGUUUCGGAUGUUAAUACCAUCUGUCAUUGACGGUAACUUACAAGAAAGGACCGGCUAACUUCGUGCCAGCAGCCGCGGUAAUACGGAGGGAUCGAACGUUAAUCGGAAUUACUGGGCGUAAAGCGCGCGUAGGUGGUUUGUUAAGUGGGAUGUGAAAGCCCCGGGCUCAACCUGGGAACUGCAUUCCAAACUGACAAACUAGAGUACGAUAGAGGGGG